Long non-coding RNA from Brassica napus (rape), 4159 nucleotides. RefSeq lists it as uncharacterized. The transcript is spliced from 4 exons. The record is from RefSeq and is a predicted model, not a curated record. NCBI's taxonomy places the organism in Eukaryota, Viridiplantae, Streptophyta, Magnoliopsida, Brassicales, Brassicaceae.
UUGGGGUGGAAUUAUUAGUAUUUUAGAUUAGGUAAAUAUAUCUGAGAAAAGUUAGUAUUUGGACGGUUUAUUAUUAGUCAUAUGUGAAUAAGUUUGUACGAUAUGAAAAUUUUUAAAAUAAAACAGAGUCAAGCGCCUCAAACUAAUUAGCAUUUGUAGUUUUGAAAACGAUGUUUUCGUCGAAGCUUAAAGCAAAUAUUGGCUUGUUGAUUUCUUUACGUUAAUGUAAAGUGUUUUGUUUUUUUUAAGUGAAUAAAUUAAUUACGUAUUGGUAAAUACGAAGAAGACCGGUUUUAUUGGUUCACAGACUAACCCAUGACUUCUACAUUUAUAUUCUAGAAUCGUGUUUUGCGUGUGUAUGACGUAAACGACCCUAGACAAAUUAAAAUUAGCAAAUAGCAACUUUAUAAGCUUAAAACAUUAUUUAAACUUUCAAAUAAAGUAAUAAAUUUUAAACUUUAUAAGUUAACAUAAAACUCACCAAAUUCAAUUGUCAAAACAUAAUUUUUAAAAAUUUGACCAAUACCAAAAAUAAUCUCACCAUUAAUAUCCCAAACACAAAGUGGCUUGGCUGUUUAAAUAAGAAAUGACAGUCUUUAAAUAUGGUCGGUCAAAUUAUAACAGAAUUUCACUUUCGUCGAUAGGAUCUGUAUUAAGAACAAUUUAUACUGGAAUGCUAAAUAGACUCCAUAAUAUAAAAGUGAAUAAAGACUGAAACAAAUUUAAAGUACCCAUAUAAUUGGGAAUAUCUAAAACAUAAAUAUCCAAAUACUUGAAAUUAAACAAAGACUAGCUUUUGACCCGCGCGCCCGCGCGGGUGUAUAUUUUGUAGAAUUUAAUAUUUUUGUUAGUUGUAGACUUGUAGGUUAAUGUUUCAUAGGUUAUUGAGUUAUGAUAUAUUGUGUAUCUUGGUCAUUUUGCUAAGUGUCGAAUUUUUAAAUUUUAGUUGCAUUCUUUUUCAUUUGUACUUUUUUAACUUUUACUUUGUAAAUUAAAAAAAUAACUUGAUUAAUUUUGAUCUUAGAGUAAAUUAAACAAUUUAGAUCUUUAGUCCAAACUUAAAUAUUACAUUAAACAAUUAAAUCUAAAAUAUUAGAGUAUUUUGUUUAGAUUGAGUGUGUUUUAUUAAAUUAUACAAUAAAAUUUGUGUGAUAAAUUAUUUUAAAAUUACAUUUGAUUUAAAUUUUUUUAAACAAAAAUUUACAGCAAAAAUUACAAAUUAUGGAAAAUUAUACCCAAAAAACAUUCACAAAAAGUAUUCGAUUGCACAAUUAUAUAUACAAAGCCCAUUUAGAUGAAUUGAAAUAGGCAAUUUAUUUUUGACUUCAAAUUAGUGGGCUUAAAAUAUUAAUCGAAGCCCAAAUUAUUUUUUUUCCGGGAAAAGAAACAGAAACAGUUUUCUUUGUACGACUUCUUGGUUUCCGUUCUUGUAGAUCUCUCUGUCGGUGCCGUCCGCUUUCUGGCGAUAAGUUCCAUCUCAGGGGGUUGAAUUUCUCUCUCAAAAGAGGAAAGAUGGUUAGAUCCAUUGAGAACUACAACAGAUUUUGCAAACAGGUAUGAUUUUGGAUUUUUAGGUUGAAAUUAUUUAUCUUGAUUUGUUGUUCUAGAUUCUGUGUUAUGAUGGUUUUUAAAAUCAACUGAAGGGGUCAUACGAAGAGCUUUCUGUUGGAUAGAUAUAGCACGGUCCCGGUUUAAUCAUGAAGACCUGUCAAGACUCACUAUAAGCUCUGCUUUGUCCACGGAAUGCUUCGUUACAGUACUUGAUCACUUCGUCAACAACUCAUAUAUCUUUGUUCCAAUGAACAAAUGUUUAUUAACUUUGGUCACUCUAUUUGUUAAGUCAAUCGAUCUACUUUAUCAAAGGUUAGAUUCAUAAUCGAUUAUUUUGAUUAAGAUUCAAUGAAUAGUUUUCUUCCCUAAAUUUUUUGAUUGUUUCUCUUAUGGAAUGAUAGAUCUCUAGUCUCAAUGAGUAUGCCGGCAAUUAACCUUCGUCUUUAGAGACGUAAGGUCGUAAAGUCAAAAUCAACAGUUUUUAAAAUUUCUGUAUCUAUUUUUGUACAAUUGUGUCAAUUCUGAUAUUAUCUUUUUUAAUUGUGACGCAUGUUUGAGUUGGACGUUGUGUGAAGCAAUUUCUAGUAAUCUAGAUGCAAAGUAAGCCAGCAACCUUGGCGAACAAAAGACUUCGAAUACGGUUAGUAUUUCUUAGCUAUCACAACUAAUUCAUAAGUACCAAGCAAUGUAGGACCAUCUUGAAUAUGUUUUGAUUAUGAAAGAACGCUGGCUUAAGUAUAAAUGUUUGGUUUUUACUUGUCUGAGUGAUUCAAACCUGGUUAUUUUUUCCUUUACGAUCUUAUAUAACAUAACAUCUGUCAAUCGUUUGAUAGCUGAUAUUAUGUCAUUUUAAAUGUGACGCAUGUUUGAUUUGGACGUUGUGAGAACCAAGUUUCAGUAAUCCAAAUAUAAUGGAAGACAACAACCCGAGGAACACACACCUGAGAAUAUGGUUAGUAAUUACUUCUCUAUCAUAACUAAUUCAUAGGAUGAAAGCAAUGUCAUGGAUAAUAACGCGCCGGUGUUCUACAAAAUAUGUUGAUAACUGAUCUAACGUACCUAUUUCGUAAGUUGGAUAAAAUAGGACAGUAUAGAAUAAGUGCAAGGCUAGAAUAACGUCUUUCCUUUCCUCUGUGAUGGCAUAUUUAGAUUAAAUUGCUUUCUUCUGUAUUCUUGAUUCACUGAAAAUAUGAAUAACAUGUAUAAAAUUUAUGCUCACAGUUCAUUAAAAACAUUCGACAUUUUAAUGCUGAUAGGAACGUAUGUUCAUGUUACUAACUUAAACUGCUAUUACAAAAUCUUUCUUGGUAGGAUUAACUUUGUAUUUGCCAGAAAAUGGACAUUGAAGUUUCCUGGAGAGAACCAAGUACCAGUUAUGAAGAUGCAAAAGCAGACUACAAUGAUUACAGGACAACAGAGUUAUAAUGAGUGACUAAUCCCUGAAAUCUCCUCUCUUGCGAUUCACCUCUUGAGUAUGAGGAUGAAGGAAUGUUCCUUCCACGGCAUUUAUUCAGAAAGAUUUUUUGGGAAGAAUGGAUUAGCUUACUAUGAGAUUUGCAUAUAUUCAGAUCCGAUGACAAACAAUGAUGGAGCAGGUUCGAACAUUCAUACUCUUAUAGACAGCAACACGCGCCUUCUUGACCACCUUAGAGGAUGAGACAUCCGGAUUCUUACGCGCAGUACCGUAUAGACCCAUCUGAUCCAUUACCAGUGGCCCUUCCAGAUGCAAACCCAACAGGAGCUGGCUUGCCAUUAGGCAUGUUGUCAUCAUCAUCCUCGUUACCUCCCUGAUCCAUUGAGAUUGUUAUACAUAUACGUAUUUGUAAACAGCGAUAAGACAAUGAGAUAACGUAUUACACAUUAUACUUACAUUGUCAUCCACGUCAUCGUCUCGCACACGACCAAGCUCAUCAACAAUGCUGAAUAUCAAUCUAAAGAAGUAUACAAAACGUUAGUGGAAUGCCGUCAAUAAACUAACACUAUUAGCACUAUUACACAUUAUACUUACAUUGUUGUUUCUUUCUGAAACGUUGCUUCAUAUAUCAUGUUAUGGUGAACGUCUUAUGAUUGCUGGUGAAGUUAUAAGCAGUGACCCUCACCUGGAAAGUGUAUGAUUUUCCUUCCAUAUCUGCAAUGAACGGAGGUAUCCUAGAGUCCUCAGGGUUCACUCCAUCUUCAGCCUAAUUGACAGGAAACCAAAUACAAAUUAAGCUUUUAUUUAAUAGGCGAUAAAAACGCAAGUAGACAGAGGUGUAUUUUACCAGCAUCUGAACAGCCUCACUUGCUCUAAGAUUAUGUAGUUUCGUCAUCACACCAUCAAACCAAACAAAUGUUCCUUCAGCAGUAUCAUCAGCAAUAGCCAUCUCAACACGAUAGCUGAAAGGAGAUGGUAAUGAGGAAGCCAAAUUAUAAAGAUACACUUGUAUACGUCUAGAUGUAUACAUACAUAGAUAUAGUAGGGACGUAACUCACCAAAGUUUGAAAUAUAUAUAUAUAUAUAUAUAUAUAUGUGGGUCACCUGAAACAUAGUUUGAAAUAGAUCAGUGUUGAUUAACAGAGAAAAGUUAACUGGAAAUAAAUAUCAAUGUUAAUUAACAGAAAAUCAAAA